Molecule: long non-coding RNA, 236 nt
Organism: Telopea speciosissima
Lineage: Eukaryota; Viridiplantae; Streptophyta; Magnoliopsida; Proteales; Proteaceae
Exons: 3
Source: RefSeq, a predicted model, not a curated record
UCAUGGUCAUCUGGGGAACUUUCAGCAGAAAAGGGUAGCCGAAGCACGAUGCUUGCAACAGAUGCUUGUUUAUGAACAAGUAAAGUUGCAAUUAAUGCGUGUGAAGCAUGAGAUAUUACUAAAGAGAGUACAGUUGUUGCAGUCAGGGAUUCAGGAAUCUCAAAAUUUGAAGUUAUGUUGUUUGCAACAUCCCUCUGUGCCCAAUGUUAGAGGUGCCGAAAAUAAGAAGACUUAUU